UAAGAAGUUGAGUGGCGGACGGGUGAGUAACACGUGGGUAACCUGCCUAAAAGAAGGGGAUAACACUUGGAAACAGGUGCUAAUACCGUACAUCUCUAAGGAUCGCAUGAUUCUUAGAUGAAAGAUGGUUCUGCUAUCGCUUUUAGAUGGACCCGCGGCGUAUUAACUAGUUGGUGGGGUAACGGCCUACCAAGGUGAUGAUACGUAGCCGAACUGAGAGGUUGAUCGGCCACAUUGGGACUGAGACACGGCCCAAACUCCUACGGGAGGCAGCAGUAGGGAAUCUUCCACAAUGGACGCAAGUCUGAUGGAGCAACGCCGCGUGAGUGAAGAAGGUCUUCGGAUCGUAAAACUCUGUUGUUAGAGAAGAACACGAGUGAGAGUAACUGUUCAUUCGAUGACGGUAUCUAACCAGCAAGUCACGGCUAACUACGUGCCAGCAGCCGCGGUAAUACGUAGGUGGCAAGCGUUGUCCGGAUUUAUUGGGCGUAAAGGGAACGCAGGCGGUCUUUUAAGUCUGAUGUGAAAGCCUUCGGCUUAACCGGAGUAGUGCAUUGGAAACUGGAAGACUUGAGUGCAGAAGAGGAGAGUGGAACUCCAUGUGUAGCGGUGAAAUGCGUAGAUAUAUGGAAGAACACCAGUGGCGAAAGCGGCUCUCUGGUCUGUAACUGACGCUGAGGUUCGAAAGCGUGGGUAGCAAACAGGAUUAGAUACCCUGGUAGUCCACGCCGUAAACGAUGAAUGCUAGGUGUUGGAGGGUUUCCGCCCUUCAGUGCCGCAGCUAACGCAAUAAGCAUUCCG
RNAcentral lists this ribosomal RNA (801 nucleotides) under uncultured bacterium. Its description in RNAcentral is "bacterial SSU rRNA". It matches the Rfam family "Bacterial small subunit ribosomal RNA", at positions 84 to 871 of the family's 1533-position model. The record is from RNAcentral.